Molecule: non-coding RNA, 54 nt
Organism: Salmo salar (Atlantic salmon)
Lineage: Eukaryota; Metazoa; Chordata; Actinopteri; Salmoniformes; Salmonidae
Source: Rfam
UGUAUUCACUACUGUAAGUUGCUCUGGAUAAGAGCGUCUGCUAAAAGACGUAAA